AAGACCUUGCGCUUUUGGAGCGGCCGAUGUCUGAUUAGCUAGUUGGUGGGGUAAUGGCCUACCAAAGCUUCGAUCAGUAGCUGGUCUGAGAGGACGGCCAGCCACACUGGGACUGAGACACGGCCCAGACUCCUACGGGAGGCAGCAGUGGGGAAUUUUGGACAAUGGGCGCAAGCCUGAUCCAGCCAUGCCGCGUGAGUGAAGAAGGCCUUCGGGUUGUAAAGCUCUUUCAGCCGGGAAGAAAAGGCUGCGACUAAUAAUCGCAGUUCAUGACGGUACCGGAAGAAGAAGCACCGGCUAACUACGUGCCAGCAGCCGCGGUAAUACGUAGGGUGCGAGCGUUAAUCGGAAUUGCUGGGCGUAAAGGGUGCGCAGGCGGUUUUGUAAGUCAGAUGUGAAAUCCCCGGGCUUAACCUGGGAACU
Molecule: ribosomal RNA, 423 nt
Filed under: uncultured bacterium
Lineage: Bacteria
Description: bacterial SSU rRNA
Rfam family: Bacterial small subunit ribosomal RNA
Source: RNAcentral